UCCUACGGGAGGCAGCAGUGGGGAAUUUUCCGCAAUGGGCGAAAGCCUGACGGAGCAACGCCGCGUGAGGGAUGAAGGCCUCUGGGCUGUAAACCUCUUUUCUCAAGGAAGAAGAUAUGACGGUACUUGAGGAAUAAGCCACGGCUAAUUCCGUGCCAGCAGCCGCGGUAAUACGGGAGUGGCAAGCGUUAUCCGGAAUUAUUGGGCGAAAAGCGUCCGCAGGCGGCCCUUCAAGUCUGCUGUAAAAACGUGGAGCUUAACUCCAUCAUCGCAGUGGAAACUGUAGGGCUUGAGUUUGGUAGGGGCAGAGGGAAUUCCCGGUGUAGCGGUGAAAUGCGUAGAUAUCGGGAAGAACACCAGUGGCGAAGGCGCUCUGCUGGGCCAUAACUGACGCUCAUGGACGAAAGCCAGGGGAGCGAAAGGGAUUAGAUACCCCUGUAGUCCUGGCCGUAAACGAUGAACACUAGGUGUCGGGGGAAUCGACCCCCUCGGUGUCGUAGCUAACGCGUUAAGUGUUCCGCCUGGGGAGUACGCACGCAAGUGUGAAACUCAAAUGAAUUGACGG
Molecule: ribosomal RNA, 565 nt
Filed under: uncultured bacterium
Lineage: Bacteria
Description: bacterial SSU rRNA
Rfam family: Bacterial small subunit ribosomal RNA
Source: RNAcentral